AUGGUGGUGCACGUGGUGCUCCUGGCCGUGCCGGCGGUCGGCGGGUUCAUGCAGGCGUUCAAGUUCUCGGUCCUGCUCUGGCCGUUCAACAUCAUGCUGCCGCUGCUCCGCAACCUGCCGCGCCUCUGCCUCACGCUCAGGGCCGCCGCGGUGCACUACGACGCCGAGCUGCGCGCGUACCUCACCGGCCGCCGGACGGUGCCGCUGCCGGAGCCGGGGUACUCGACCCUCCGCGGCGCGCAGAGGCGCACGCGUGAGCAGCUCGCCGCGCACGCCAUGAUCGCCCUCGUCGACAUCUCCUACUGA
Molecule: ribosomal RNA, 306 nt
Filed under: Triticum aestivum (bread wheat)
Lineage: Eukaryota; Viridiplantae; Streptophyta; Magnoliopsida; Poales; Poaceae
Description: partial small subunit ribosomal RNA
Source: RNAcentral